GGAUAUGAAGGUGAUUUAGUUGUGACAUUUGUCACCCCAUUGGUAGCCAGGGUUGGUGUGACUGACCUAGCUGGGUAGGCAAGUGUCCCCUUUCUCCCUCACCACUCCUUGUACAUCCCUCCAGAAGCUGCAUGGUGGCUUUCCAGGAAUAGAGGAUGAGUAGUCUUCAGUCAAGAGUAUAUGAGUAGCUGAGCUCCCCUGCUAGACCCCCCUAACAAGCUCUCAAGAUCUUGGCAGAGGCUAUGAUCUUUCGAAGGUACCACAGGAUUAGAGGACCUAUCCCAAGACGGUUGCCUGGUACUCAGGAGGCCUUAGCACCUUGUUGGUUGUUGGUAUGA
RNAcentral lists this small nuclear RNA (338 nucleotides) under Rattus norvegicus (Norway rat). RNAcentral's name for it is "7SK RNA". It matches the Rfam family "7SK RNA". From Rfam's summary of the family: 7SK was discovered as an abundant small nuclear RNA in the mid-70s but a possible function has only recently been suggested. Two independent studies have found that 7SK RNA binds the CDK9/cyclin T complex (known as elongation factor P-TEFb). Lineage: Eukaryota; Metazoa; Chordata; Mammalia; Rodentia; Muridae. The record is from Rfam by way of RNAcentral.